UACGGAGGGUGCAAGCGUUAUCCGGAAUCACUGGGUUUAAAGGGUGCGUAGGCGGCCCGUUAAGUCAGUGGUGAAAGCCUCCAGCUCAACUGGAGAACUGCCAUUGAUACUGACGGGCUUGAGUACAGACGAGGUUGGCGGAAUUGAUUGUGUAGCGGUGAAAUGCAUAGAUACAAUCAAGAACUCCGAUUGCGUAGGCAGCUAACUAGGCUGUAACUGACGCUGAGGCACGAAAGCGUGGGGAGCGAACAGG
RNAcentral lists this ribosomal RNA (253 nucleotides) under uncultured bacterium. RNAcentral's name for it is "partial 16S ribosomal RNA". It matches the Rfam family "Bacterial small subunit ribosomal RNA", at positions 524 to 776 of the family's 1533-position model. The record is from RNAcentral.